RNAcentral lists this ribosomal RNA (433 nucleotides) under uncultured bacterium. RNAcentral describes it as "partial 16S ribosomal RNA". It matches the Rfam family "Bacterial small subunit ribosomal RNA", at positions 29 to 507 of the family's 1533-position model. The record is from RNAcentral.
AGCGAACGCUGGCGGCAGGCCUAACACAUGCAAGUCGAACGAACUCUUCGGAGUUAGUGGCGGACGGGUGAGUAACACGUGGGAACGUGCCUUUUGGUUCGGAAUAACUCAGGGAAACUUGUGCUAAUACCGAAUGUGCCCUUCGUGGGAAAGAUUUAUCGCCAUUAGAGCGGCCCGCGUCUGAUUAGCUAGUUGGUGAGGUAACGGCUCACCAAGGCGACGAUCAGUAGCUGGUCUGAGAGGAGGACCAGCCACACUGGGACUGAGACACGGCCCAGACUCUUACGGAAGGCAGCAGUGGGGAAUCUUGCGAAAUGGGCGAAAGCCUGACGCAGCCAUGCCGCGUGAAUGAUGAAGGUCUUAGGAUUGUAAAAUUCUUUCACAGGGGACGAUAAUGACGGUACCGGGAGAAGAAGCCCCGGCUAACUUCGUG